This 66-nucleotide transfer RNA is filed under the name Eucryptotermes sp. n. nr. breviceps. Its description in RNAcentral is "tRNA-Asp". The record is from RNAcentral. Lineage: Eukaryota; Metazoa; Arthropoda; Insecta; Blattodea; Kalotermitidae.
AAGGAGUUAGUUAAUUAAUAACAUUGGUAUGUCAAUCCAAAAUAGUUUAUCUUCAAACACACCUUU